This 253-nucleotide ribosomal RNA is filed under the name uncultured bacterium. RNAcentral describes it as "partial 16S ribosomal RNA". It matches the Rfam family "Bacterial small subunit ribosomal RNA", at positions 524 to 776 of the family's 1533-position model. The record is from RNAcentral.
UACGUAGGGCGCGAGCGUUGUCCGGAAUUAUUGGGCGUAAAGAGCUUGUAGGUGGCUUGUCGCGUCUGCCGUGAAAAUCCAGGGCCUAACCCUGGACGUGCGGUGGGUACGGGCAGGCUAGAGUGUGGUAGGGGAGACUGGAACUCCUGGUGUAGCGGUGAAAUGCGCAGAUAUCAGGAAGAACACCGAUGGCGAAGGCAGGUCUCUGGGCCAUUACUGACACUGAGAAGCGAAAGCAUGGGGAGCGAACAGG